AACCCGUAGAUCCGAACUUGUGCUGAUUCUGCACACAAGCUUGUGUCUAUAGGUAUG
This 57-nucleotide microRNA precursor is filed under the name Mus musculus (house mouse). RNAcentral's name for it is "Mmu-Mir-10-P2d_pre stem-loop". Lineage: Eukaryota; Metazoa; Chordata; Mammalia; Rodentia; Muridae. The record is from RNAcentral.